GUGGGGAAUCUUAGACAAUGGGGGAAACCCUGAUCUAGCCAUGCCGCGUGAGCGAUGAAGGCCUUAGGGUUGUAAAGCUCUUUCAGCUGGGAAGAUAAUGACUGUACCAGCAGAAGAAGCCCCGGCUAACUCCGUGCCAGCAGCCGCGGUAAUACGGAGGGGGCUAGCGUUGUUCGGAAUUACUGGGCGUAAAGCGCACGUAGGCGGACCGGAAAGUCAGAGGUGAAAUCCCAGGGCUCAACCUUGGAACUGCCUUGGAAACGCCUGGUCUGGAGGUCGAGAGAGGUGAGUGGAAUUCCGAGUGUAGAGGUGAAAUUCGUAGAUAUUCGGAGGAACACCAGUGGCGAAGGCGGCUCACUGGCUCGAUACUGACGCUGAGGUGCGAAAGCGUGGGGAGCAAACAGGAUUAGAAACCCUAGUAGUCC
This 425-nucleotide ribosomal RNA is filed under the name uncultured bacterium. RNAcentral describes it as "partial 16S ribosomal RNA". It matches the Rfam family "Bacterial small subunit ribosomal RNA", at positions 354 to 796 of the family's 1533-position model. The record is from RNAcentral.